RNAcentral lists this ribosomal RNA (506 nucleotides) under uncultured bacterium. Its description in RNAcentral is "partial 16S ribosomal RNA". It matches the Rfam family "Bacterial small subunit ribosomal RNA", at positions 29 to 523 of the family's 1533-position model. The record is from RNAcentral.
AGUGAACGCUGGCGGUAGGCCUAACACAUGCAAGUCGAACGGCAGCACAGGAGAGCUUGCUCUCUGGGUGGCGAGUGGCGGACGGGUGAGGAAUACAUCGGAAUCUACUUUUUCGUGGGGGAUAACGUAGGGAAACUUACGCUAAUACCGCAUACGACCUACGGGUGAAAGCAGGGGACCUUCGGGCCUUGCGCGAUUGAAUGAGCCGAUGUCGGAUUAGCUAGUUGGCGGGGUAAAGGCCCACCAAGGCGACGAUCCGUAGCUGGUCUGAGAGGAUGAUCAGCCACACUGGAACUGAGACACGGUCCGGACUCCUACGGGAGGCAGCAGUGGGGAAUAUUGGACAAUGGGCGCAAGCCUGACCCAGCCAUACCGCGUGGGUGAAGAAGGCCUUCGGGUUGUAAAGCCCUUUUGUUGGGAAAGAAAUCCAGCUGGCUAAUACCCGGUUGGGAUGACGGUACCCAAAGAAUAAGCACCGGCUAACUUCGUGCCAGCCGCCGCUGUAA